Molecule: long non-coding RNA, 1429 nt
Organism: Carassius gibelio (silver crucian carp)
Lineage: Eukaryota; Metazoa; Chordata; Actinopteri; Cypriniformes; Cyprinidae
Exons: 3
Source: RefSeq, a predicted model, not a curated record
AACUAACUGGAGUUAAUGACACACAAGUCUGCUUGUGUGAGGAGGAGGUUUUCUCAGCUUCUUCUGAAGAGAGGGAAAGAUAGUUUAAGGCAAGUAAACUUCAUAAUUUCAUGUUAUCAGUUGUUGUUUUUUUACUAAGAGUAAAAUCAUGUUUGUUUUUUGUUUUUGUAGAUGUUAAAAGCAAGAGACAUGGGAGAGCAUCAUUCCUUUGAGAUUUUAUAACUCAAACCAACUUUGGAGUUGUCUGAUUUGGAGAGUCAUUAUUCUUGGUCUUCGCUCUUAGAGGCCACUGAUGAAGAACAGGCGGUGUUUGGGAUGAAUCCUGGUCAGAGAGGAGAAUCUUCUUUCCCCUAAACAGCGGUGGUUUUAAAGGAGGACGCUGCCCUGGAUGAUGUAGAAGAUGUCAGAUGCUGUGCUGAUGGGGUUUCUUCAUGAUUACAUCAGUUAUGCUAAAGAGAUCAUGAAAAUUGACUGUGAUGCAUGAUCUGUAUUCAUGGACUAUGAAACAAACUGUAAGUGUAUAAUUUGUUAAAAAAAAAAAAAGUUAAAUGCUUUUUCUGUGUUGUUUAGUAGAAGAGUUUACACUCUGUCAUUCAUACACCUGCUCACAUUCUUUCACACACACACACACACACACAUGCGUCUGUUAAAUGUUAUAAUAUCAAAGUUAAUGUUGUGAUUUAUUUGUGUACCGUCAUGCCAGAAUAGUUGGAAAAAAACCUAACUAAUUGUAAAUUUAUUGUAUGUGUUUUCGUAUAUUUUUAUACAAUAUAUACAAUUGAACAAAGUCCAAUUUGAUCUUAAGUUAUAUUCAUCAAAUGUUCAAUGCUUUGUUUAUGAACUCUGUAGCUGUUAAUGCCAUCCUUUUUUGCAUUUCUUCUAACAUGUUACUUUUUGACUUUUCUCUUGUUUUUAAUAAAUAUUUUCCUUUUGGUAAUUAUUAUUUGUGUGUAAAAGUGAUAUUUAAAAUGAACAACAUUUGUAGGUUUAAUGCCUAGCUCAAUUUGGGUUAAUUUUAACGUAGAAAUGCAUUGUUUCCCCACAUGGCUGCACUCUGCGAGUUUAUUUUCUGCCAGUAGGAGGCGCUAAGAGCGGGAGAGGUAGGUUUCUCCGGUAACGGCUGCAGAGCGGCUCUGAGCUCACAAACGCUGCCUUAUCAAGCACAUGCGAAAUGAUAUCGAACAUUUUCUAAAUACAGUAGUUUUCCUUCUGAAAUACAGUGAUAAAAAAACACCCGCUCUGUUUUUUUAAACCCUGCAAUAUAGUCAUUUUAAACCAUAAAAAAGGCAACCCAGCAGGCUGGGUUAAAUAUGAUAACCCAACUGGUUGGGUUAAAACAACCCAGCGCUGGGUUCGUCCCUUUUUGACCCAGCGCUGGGUUGUCAAAAUAACCCAAAUUGGGUUGUUUUCAACCCAGCAGUUUUUAGAG